CCGGAGCCGCGCGCGAUGAUUCAUUGCCCCAAUUAGGGGCUCUCUGCAGCGCGCCCGGCUCUAGCCGUCUGAAGGGUCUCCUGGGGGACCCGCCGAAACCCAUCAGCGGCUGGAGCUGGUCUUUAAGUAAAGGUCAAUCAGGACGCGGGAGGAGCCAGGGUUCCUGCAAAGGUUACACGAGAUGCCCCAGGGAGCAUUUAGCACAGUGCCGGGCACACAGUCCCAGGAUGACAGCUGCAGGUCUUCGGGGGUUCCAUCUGCUCACGUACGUCUCUGUCCCCGUGCUUACAACACUGCCUGCAUGUGGGAGACACGCAAUGAAUAUCUUUUCAUCAGGAACAGUUAGCUUCGAGACUAUGAUGUCCUCAGGCCCCUAAGCAAAGCCCUGCCAGGAAUGCAUGGUAAUGAGAAUGUCUGCAGCACGACUGUGACCUUGACAUCCACUAUCUUCAAGAAAUCUUCACAACAACCCCAUCGUUAAUCUCCCCAUGUUUACAGAGAAGGAAACCGAGAGGGGUUAAGGAAGCCGUCCAAGGUCAGCCACCAGCCCAGACUGGCGACUCCCGAGCCCAUGGGGCAGGUGAGCAGGCUGUGUGGUCAGCCAGCGCGGACUCCCCCCACGCAGCAUCACCGAGCCUCAAACGGAGAGGCCCACCCUCGACGAUCUGUGCAGAGCAAGGCUCUCUGCCCUACUCUCAGGCUGGAUUUUCACAGAGACGAGGCCAGGAAGGGAGAUUGUCCCUGUGGGUCUGUCCCGGAAGAGACCCUGGGCUCCAAGCACAGAGCAGGAUGUAGCCUGCCCCGGGGUCCUCCGGCCGAGCCAGGAAGAAGGCCUCAAGGCAGCCAGGCCGGCAGGGAUUUCCCAGAGGCUCUGACUUGGAGGGAAAAAGGAGGUAAGGAAAAUGCAGCCAAAACUAGGCCAGGGAAACCGGCUCAUGGCUGCCUGGGCCGGCCGCUGUCCCCUGGCAGCUGCAGUGACUCUCCCAGGGCUUCGGCCAUUGAUUGGCCUCUUGUCCUUAGCCCUCAGUGGCCAUGGGCGCACCUCGUUCUCAUUCUUGGAAUUCUCCUGAGACCUCACUUUUGGCUGGAUCUCAGCCUGGCUGACCCCUCCCCAAGGCCAUCAUGCUACUUCCUGCCUGGAUUGGGGAAGGAUCACCCUAGAGGCUUCCCCCUCCUCAUUCCCCCAUUCCCAAUUCCCAUCCCAACCCCUGAAAAAUGUUUACCCCGGUGUACUCGUGAGCAUGCUUCUGCCACAUCCAGUUCUGCAAAACUCUGUUUCAUGCAUGUCACUCUCCUGCUCUCAAACUAUCCGUGGCUCCCUAGUGCUCUCAGAGAGGCAGUUCGAAGACAGGCUAAGAGCAAGGAUGCUGGAGCCAGGACAUCUGGGUUUGAAUUCUGACUCAGCUACUUACACAUUGAGAGAUCCUGGGCAAGUCACUGACCUUGCCGUGCCUCUCUUGCUCCAUCUGUGAAAUGGAAUAAGCACUGGGGCCUCCCACACCAUUCUUGGCAUAGUAAAUGAACUGAUGGACAUAACAUGUUUAGCACAGGGCCUGCUGGUCAUUGUAAGGACUGUGAAUACUGAGGGCAGAGCCAGUCCAUCUCCAGGGUCUGGACCAGGGCACAGUAUCUGGGAUCCACUCCAGCCAAAACACACGGCCUCCACUGGCCGUCCCCAUCACUGUGAUGUCGCUCCCCCACCCCGAAGCCUUCCACCCCUGCAGUCAAAUUAUCUUACAAGCUCAGCUCAAAAGGCACCCCAUCCACCCGGCCCCAAGCAAUCAGGUCACCCGACUUGACCUUCUUCCAUGGGUGUCCACACCAGCGCUUCUCAGACAGGAAGUACACGUGAAGCCCCCUAAGCCCGCCUGGAAGAGGAGCUGAUCCCCAUCUGGGCUGAGCCCUGGACAGGCAGCUCUGGUCAGGAGGCCCCUGGCCUGCAGGCUUUGUGUCCGCCCCUCCCGGGAGCAGACUCCAGGCUGGUGUGGUGCCCGCUCAGGGCCAUUCACCAGAGUUAAACAUCUAGCCAGCAAGAGGGCGGGGGCCUCGGCUACGCUCCAGCUUCUGCCCUCCCCGGCCCUGCCCCAGUGGCUCUGUCCAUCCGUCCUGGGCAGUGCUCAGCAGCCUCACUUCCUCUCUCUGUGGCCCCCUCCCCUGCACAGGACCCAGGGCACCCCGUCGGCUCCUCCGUCCCCAUCUAAUGCCACCUCACAGUCACUUGUUCAUUCAUUCGACACGCAUUCAUUAAGCGCCCUCUGUGGCUUGCCCAGGUCUCUGAUCCCUCAGCUGUCAUGUAGCUGUUCUCGGGACAAGCUUUACUUUCUCGCCUUGUAAAGUGGUCUUGGGUGGGUCAUGUCACCUUCUUCCCCAGGCCCCGCUGGGAUGGCCCAUGGGACGUUGCCAUCACAGGUUGAGCACCUACCAUGUGCCGGGCACUGUGUCAUGCAGGUUACAAAUAUCCUCCCACAGAUGUCCCCGCAAGCCCUGGAAAGCCAGGGCCUCUUCUGCUCCCUGCCCCUCACUUGCAGAAAGUGAAGCUCAGAGAGGCAGAGUGACCUGCCCCGGGGCGCACAGCUGGUGAGAGGCCAAGCCAGGGCUUCUUGCUCCAAAGUCUGGGAUUCGCAGGGCUCCACAACCCCUCGCCUGUUGGUGUUGGCUGCGUGUAACAGCCACAUCCUACGAUGAGAUUUUCUGUGGCUUCUCAGUCCCCUCAAACCCCUGUAGAUGGCAGCUCGGUCCUGUCCCCGACCCUGACCUCGGGGUCCUGAAUCUCCAGCCCAGAAAUGUUGACCUUGACGUCAACCCUGCAGGCUCAAACAAUCCCCAAAGGUGCCCCUCGUCCUAACCCCUGCACCUGCAACUGUGUUAACUUGGGUGGCCAAGGGACUCUGCAGACAUGAUUCAGUGAAGGACCUGGAUGUGGGGGGCGGGUGUGUGUCCUGGAUUAGCCAGUGGGCCUGAGGAACCCCGGGGCCCUCACAGGAGGGAGCCAGGGGCAUCACACUCAGAGAGAGGAACUGGAAGAUGCUCCAAUGAUGGAUUUGGAGAAAGAGGAAGGGGCCAGGAGCCAAGGAAUUCGGGUGGCCUGGAAGCUGGGAGCACAAGGACCAGGGCUUCCCAGAGCCUCUAGAAGGAACCAGCCCUGUCGACAUCCGGAUUUUGGCCCAGUGAGAGCCAUGUCUGACUUCUGACCUGCAGAAGCAGGAGAGAAGCAGCUGCGAGGUUUCAGCCUCUAAGCUUGUGGUGAUUUGUCAGGGCAGCCAUGGGACACUCACACAACGCCCUGGACACCCCGCUGCUGUACGAGUCCUGGCCGUGCCUGACCUCCUCCCUUCCCUACCCCCAGGUUGAUGCAAGGCGGCCCCCACCCACACCCAGACCCCAGGCGUGAAGGAGGUCUUGGCCGCCCCAGCCUCUCCGGUCUCGCAGCCUCUGGGCUCUGGGCCCUGCCUCUGGCCCUGCUCGCUUUCUGCCCUGGGCCAUUGUUAGUGCCUUAUCAGCCCAGCACAUCUCGCCUGCAUCUAAUUGGAAUUUCCUCAGAGGCAGGAAACCUGGCUCAGGCGUCAUCAGGGCUCAGAUGGUGGACCUGUGGCCUUCCUACUGGGUAAACUGGGUAAACUGAGGAACUGACUUUUACUGAGUCGCACACCUGCCCACUCUUGGCUAACCUCCUGGGGCUGCUUGAUGCUGUUUCCCGUGGCCCAGGAAGCCCUCAAAGUCAGCCCAUCUUCCCUCCCGCUGUGUCCUCCUGCAGGGCCUCUGCCCAGGCAGCUCUCUCUGCCCGUAAGCUCAGCCCCUCUGGGUGCAGAGCUGCUCCGUCUUGCUCAGGGCUCAGCGCGGCAGGAGUGAGAAGCCACCUCUUCGAGAGCUGCCCCGCACGGCACUCCCUUGCUGGAAAUCACUUCAUUUAUUGCUUGGCCUUUUUUUUUUCCCCUGAAUCUUCUGAGGGGAUCAUGGUGCCUACACCACUCCCAGGACCUGUUUCGAGGCACGGGGUCCACGUGUCUCUCACAGAUGGGCCACGGCAGCUGUUGCACAAAGGUGUUCCUGGCUCCAGCUGACCUCAGGCGAGUCAAGUCUCCUCCUGGGCUGGGGGUUGCACCUGGAACAUGGCAAUACAAAGGCAGGUCUGGUAAGGACAUAAGACGCCUGAUGGCACACACAGUAUGUGCUCAGCUAACAGCAGCUCUUUCCCUUGACCCUCCAAUGAUCGUCAAGGUGCCCCCUUGAUCCACAGGCCAGGGAGGUUAUUGAUUGAUAAAAUGUUUCCCCUGGCAUGGAAUGCACAGCCCAUGAUGCCCUGUCCUCCUUCAGGCAGAGCUGAGGGCACAGGAGACCCACAGCUGUGCGGACUCCCCGCUGGUGGGGAUGGCCACAUUCCAGGUGGGACAACAGAGCUCUGCUCAGGGUCAUACAGCUGACAUGUCACAGAUUCAGACUUCCAACCUGCUCUGUGUGGCUUUGCCGUGGCCCGAAGAAGAAGAGCAGGACUCAGAGGCAUCUCACAGGUGGACAAAGACCCCAAUCUGCAUGCAGCGGUUAAAGCUCCCUGUACACCUCCUGCUGUGGACAGAGACCCCCGAAUCUGCGUGCAGCGGUUAAAGGUCCCUGUACCCCUCCUGCUGUGGACAGAGACCCCCGAAUCUGCGUGCAGCGGUUAAAGGUCCCUGUAUGCCUCCUGCUGUAACCAGAACCCCACGAACAGCUCGUGUCAAGGUUCCCAGGCCGGCCAGGCAGGGCUGGGCAGAGUGAGGUGCUCCAGCUCACGGACAGGGGGACUAAAAAGGCUUGGGGGCUCAGAGAACGUUCAUUCCAGUUCCCCAGGGACAGGAAUCCGCCCCAGCCCAGGUUCCUGCCCCAGCGAGGCCUUCUCAUCGGCGUGAUCGGGGUCUGGUUUGCAGCCAGGCCACACAAAGCCACACAGAGCAGCCUCGGAAGUUUGGUGACAGAAAACGACGUGACCUUGGCGGGGUUUGGAGGCUGCAGCUUUUGGCGGGGCAGGUCAGGGCCCCGGGGUGUUGUGGCCACAGAGCCACGCAGGGGAGGCGCUAGGUUGUGGGUUAGGGGACGGGGAGGCCCCUUCAUCCCUGGCCAGGUUGGGCAGCAGUGACGCCUUCUUUCCUCCCCCACUGCCCCCCUACAACCCCGACACUCUUCACGGAACCCCUGUGUCUGCUAGGCACUGGGUAGGCACUAUUUGUAUAAAUAAAACUCCUUUUGGGCCUGUGUGGAUCCCCU
Molecule: long non-coding RNA, 5238 nt
Filed under: Homo sapiens (human)
Lineage: Eukaryota; Metazoa; Chordata; Mammalia; Primates; Hominidae
Description: non-protein coding lnc-FAM92B-5:1
Source: RNAcentral